AAGACUUUAUCCCCCCACCCCCCAAAGAAAAGGAAGAAGAAGAGUUUUUAAAUGGCGCAGCCCUGGAAUCCACAAGGAGGAGGUUCAGUAUUCUCUCCUGAGCGUGAAGUUGGUUCUUGGCGUUGCUUCACUGCAACUGCUAUUUGCCAUUGACGAUUGUUCUUCUCUUCAUCUGAGAGAGUUAAGAGGGAGAGGAUGCAGUCUGAGUGAU
This is a small nucleolar RNA of Nomascus leucogenys (northern white-cheeked gibbon), 211 nucleotides long. Its record names the gene U3. It matches the Rfam family "Small nucleolar RNA U3". From Rfam's summary of the family: Small nucleolar RNAs (snoRNAs) are involved in the processing and modification of rRNA in the nucleolus. There are two main classes of snoRNAs: the box C/D class, and the box H/ACA class. Lineage: Eukaryota; Metazoa; Chordata; Mammalia; Primates; Hylobatidae. The record is from Ensembl.